AGGCGUACACCUCACAAGAGGAUAGCAGUCAUCUCCCUCCCAGUCCACCCAGUCCGUGGGGCUUCUGGCACCUGUUCCAGUUGGUUUUUGUUGGCAGGAACCUGUAGAGUUAAACCAUCUCAACAGACAGAUUUCCAGUCUUCCACUUAACCAGUGAAGGUUUGAAAUUUUGGCAUGUCAUUGCUGCAGUUUCUGCAGCCCCAUCUCAGCAAAUGACAGCCCCUCAGGUGGAGGCCAUGAGCAUCCCUAGCCUGGGUUCAGCUCCAGAAAGCAUCCAAGUCAUGAUUUUGGCAAUCCUUGAGAAGUGCAGCUGUCAGGAAGUCUCUGGCUACAAAAUCCCCAGUGGAGCUAAAACCCAGGCCAGGUUGUUGUCCCAGGUUUGAAAGCCGUGCAGACCUCUGCGAAGAGCCACAUGCCUCAACAAAGAAAGCAUAAGGACUCCAUCCUCUGAAAUGCGAGUACACAAUGAAUCAUUUUAAUGAAACAAAAGACAUUCAUUUUCAAAAAAUUAUACAGAAGCAACACAGUGGAAAAUUUUAUUAGGAAAAAGAUGAUGUGCAUCAAGCUUCAGUCCCAUGUCAUUAUGACAGCAAAAUAAUUUACUGGUAUGGUAACUUUAUGCAUAUAUGUAUCUAGUGUAAAUAUGUGCGUACAAGAACAUGAAUCAGUGAAGUAGAGAUUUUUUUAGAUACAUAUACAUACCUCCACACAUCUAUACAUAUCCAAAAUGGUAACGGUGUACAUUACUCUAGAGAUGUGACAGAUUUUAUUCCCAAAAUAGCUUUGUCAGGGAUGAGUGCUACUCAACCAGUCGGGGUUAGGGGCAUACAAAAGCAACGCCGAUCACUUGGGUCUACAGCUGGGAUGAAAAAUCUGUUUGCUUGCCUACAGGUGAAAAAUACAAAGUAUGCUAAAAGCUGGUUGGUUGCAUUUACUGAGCCACGGGCACCACAAUCUAUUUUAAUGAACAUUUCCAGUGAAAUCUCUGUAUUUACUGGCUUUGACAGAUGAAGAAUAUUGCACAAGCUAUUGUGUGCCUGUGCAU
Molecule: long non-coding RNA, 1045 nt
Filed under: Gallus gallus (chicken)
Lineage: Eukaryota; Metazoa; Chordata; Aves; Galliformes; Phasianidae
Description: lncRNA (ENSGALG00010013581.1)
Source: RNAcentral